This is a long non-coding RNA of Mizuhopecten yessoensis (Yesso scallop), 482 nucleotides long. RefSeq lists it as uncharacterized. The record is from RefSeq and is a predicted model, not a curated record. Lineage: Eukaryota; Metazoa; Mollusca; Bivalvia; Pectinida; Pectinidae. The transcript is spliced from 2 exons.
GUCAGUGAAUCAGACGAGAGUUAGACCAUAUGUUACUAGGAGUGUACCUUAUCUCCAAACACUAAGCAGAAUCCCUGUAACGCAAACAGACCUCUAUACAACCAAAAGAUGAAGCUAAUAGUGUCGUUUCUGCUCUUCGCCAUGGCAACUACAGCAUUGUCAUGCAGCGACUGGUACCAGGGGGCAGCAUGCUAUUGCGCAUGCGAGGACACCGCCAUUGCGUGUAAACAAAACUGUAACCCUCACCUCGGUGAUCCACAAGACGUCGUCUUUCGGAAUGUGUGUUCCGACUACUGCAAUAUGGACAGCCUACGAUGUAUGCGCAAAUGUUUGUCGUAGUACACAUGUUGUUAAGGCAUGUACACAGUACCAUUUCUAAUACUAAACAAGUGUGGUGCUGCACUGGGUCAAUGCAUACGAACACGUUUACAAAUUGUUAAACAAGUAAACUGAUACUAUCAAUAAAAUAUCGUGUUGAUUAA